Molecule: transfer RNA, 81 nt
Organism: Ipomoea nil (Japanese morning glory)
Lineage: Eukaryota; Viridiplantae; Streptophyta; Magnoliopsida; Solanales; Convolvulaceae
Rfam family: tRNA
About the family: Transfer RNA (tRNA) molecules are approximately 80 nucleotides in length. Their secondary structure includes four short double-helical elements and three loops (D, anti-codon, and T loops).
Source: Rfam
GUUUUUUUAGCCGAGUGUUAGGGCGUGUGCCUGCUAAGUACAUGCGUUUUCCCAACGAUAGUCCAAAUCUCUCAAGCAACG